AGAGUUUGAUCCUGGCUCAGGAUGAACGCUGGCUGUGUGCCUAAUACAUGCAUGUCGAGCGGAAGUAGCAAUACUUUAGCGGCGAAUGGGUGAGUAACACGUGCUUAAUCUACCUUUUAGAUUGGAAUACCUAAUGGAAACAUUGGUUAAUGCCGGAUACGCAUGAAGUCGCAUGACUUCGUUGUGAAAGGAGCGUUUGCUCCGCUAAGAGAUGAGGGUGCGGAACAUUAGCUAGUUGGUGAGGUAAUGGCCCACCAAGGCUAUGAUGUUUAGCCGGGUCGAGAGACUGAACGGCCACAUUGGGACUGAGAUACGGCCCAAACUCCUACGGGAGGCAGCAGUAGGGAAUAUUCCACAAUGAGCGAAAGCUUGAUGGAGCGACACAGCGUGCACGAUGAAGGCCCUCGGGUUGUAAAGUGCUGUUGCAAGGGAAGAACAGUUAGUUGAGGAAAUGCUUCUAAUCUGACGGUACCUUGUUAGAAAGCGAUGGCUAACUAUGUGCCAGCAGCCGCGGUAAUACAUAGGUCGCAAGCGUUAUCCGGAAUUAUUGGGCGUAAAGCGUUCGUAGGCUGUUUAUUAAGUCUGGAGUCAAAUCCCAGGGCUCAACCCUGGCUCGCUUUGGAUACUGGUAAACUAGAGUUAGAUAGAGGUAAGCGGAAUUCCAUGUGGAGCGGUGAAAUGCGUAGAUAUAUGGAAGAACACCAAAGGCGAAGGCAGCUUACUGGGUCUAUACUGACGCUGAGGGACGAAAGCGUGGGGAGCAAACAGGAUUAGAUACCCUGGUAGUCCACGCUGUAAACGAUGAUCAUUAGUCGGUGGAAAACUACUGACGCAGCUAACGCAUUAAAUGAUCCGCCUGAGUAGUAUGCUCGCAAGAGUGAAACUUAAAGGAAUUGACGGGGACCCGCACAAGCGGUGGAGCAUGUGGUUUAAUUUGAUGAUACGCGGAGAACCUUACCCACUCUUGACAUCCCCUGCAAAGCUAUAGAGAUAUAGUGGAGGUUAACAGGGUGACAGAUGGUGCAUGGUUGUCGUCAGCUCGUGUCGUGAGAUGUUUGGUCAAGUCCUGCAACGAGCGCAACCCCUAUCUUUAGUUACUAACGAGUCAUGUCGAGGACUCUAGAGAUACUGCCUGGGUAACCGGGAGGAAGGUGGGGAUGACGUCAAAUCAUCAUGCCUCUUACGAGUGGGGCUACACACGUGCUACAAUGGUCGGUACAAAGAGAAGCAAUAUGGCGACAUGGAGCAAAUCUCAAAAAGCCGAUCUCAGUUCGGAUUGAAGUCUGCAAUUCGACUUCAUGAAGUCGGAAUCGCUAGUAAUCGCAGAUCAGCUACGCUGCGGUGAAUACGUUCUCGGGUCUUGUACACACCGCCCGUCGCACCAUGGGAGCUGGUAAUACCCAAAGUCGGUUUGCUAACCUCGGAGGCGACUGCCUAAGGUAGGACUGGUGACUGGGGUGAAGUCGUAACAAGGUAUCCCUACGAGAACGUGGGGAUGGAUUACCUCCUUUCUACGGAGUACAAUUGAAGUUAUCCAUACUUCAUAAAUAGUUAAUGGCCCAAUAUUCGUAUCCAGUUUUGAGAGAACUAUCUCUCAUUUAUUCUUUGAAAACUGAAUUAGACAUUGAAAAUUAAAAUAUUAAUAUUCAAAAAUUUAGAUCAACCUAUAGAAUAUUCAAAAAUAUAGAGACAAAUACAAAAAAAAAACAAUAGGUCAAAAAUACUUAUACGUAAUUAAAAUAUAUAACUAUUAAAUAAGCAAGAGUUUUUGGUGGAUGCCUUGGGUCUGAAAGUCGAAGAAG
RNAcentral lists this ribosomal RNA (1802 nucleotides) under Metamycoplasma orale. RNAcentral's name for it is "Mycoplasma orale partial 16S ribosomal RNA". The stretch from base 1 to 1511 matches the Rfam family "Bacterial small subunit ribosomal RNA". Lineage: Bacteria; Bacillati; Mycoplasmatota; Mycoplasmoidales; Metamycoplasmataceae. The record is from RNAcentral.